Long non-coding RNA from Mytilus californianus (California mussel), 2533 nucleotides. RefSeq lists it as uncharacterized. Lineage: Eukaryota; Metazoa; Mollusca; Bivalvia; Mytilida; Mytilidae. The transcript is spliced from 3 exons. The record is from RefSeq and is a predicted model, not a curated record.
GUAGUUUUACUGUCGCAAAUACCCGUUUACCUGUCUCUGCUACUCGUCGCCAGUAAACUAAAUUUGCAACAGUAAAACUACCGAUGGACGUCCGCAAAGCGUCAAAUACAAUACAGUUAUCUCCAAAUUUUUCAAAAGGCCAAGCUAAAAAUACAAUACAGUUAUCUAAUUGAAUGGAAUGAAGUGUACAAGUAAUGAAAUAAUAUUCAGCAGGAGACUUUUCAAUCAUAUGAUAUGUCAUGUUAAAUUCCAAUUUCAAACAUUUUACAAUCUUUAUCGAAUGCAUUAUUAUACAAUUAUUGACUUUUGAUGAGGUUGAUACAUUAUGAUUUAUCAACCCCAUAUAUAUAUGAUAUUAACCAAGGACAACAGCAAAGUGUCAUUGUAUCAACAAUCAAAAGUUAAUAAUUGUCUUAUUAUAUAACUUUUUAUCCUUCUCCAAAUUUCUAGUUUUUGCUCAAGAUACUUAUAAAACUGCUUCCUGUUUAAAAAAAAUAAAAUAUAUCAUAAUGCAGUUGCUAAGUUAAAAUAUUUAAAUAAAGAAAACUAUACAACAAUUUCACACAAAAAAAGAAGAAAAGAUAAAUAUACACCAAAAACCAAAAGGAAAAGAAAAAAACAUGAAUUUUCUUGACGUCCUGAACAUACGUCAUUGUCUCUGCCUUGGAAUAUUUAUAUUUAGAUACAGGGACGCUGUUCCAACUCUUGUAUUAACCUCUUGGACUUUUUUGCGCGGUAAAUAUGACUUUUUAUCAAUGAGAAUUUCCUAUGCUUUUAGCCAAUGAGAAAACAGAAAAUUUUUAGUCAUAUAAUAAUUCUUUUUGUCUUGCCUUAAAAGAAGAAAUAACAGUUAUGUUAUGGUUUUGAUUUUUAAUCUCAAUUUGCUGAAAAUUCCUAGAUCUCAUGCAUGAACAGAUCACACUGUAGAAUAUGAAAUUAGUUUAGGCAAAAUGGUUUACCAAAGUAUAAAGCAAAGCAAAAUAUGCUAACAGACCAAUCUGGUUCAAUGAUUAAUAGAUAUAUAUGUAUAUCAUAUAAGAAUGAUCAUAAAUUGGUGCUGUAACUUUUAUAUUAUACAAAUAUAUAGCCCUCUUGUUAUCCUGUGACAAUGUUGAGUAAACAUAUGAUUUAAAUUGUUCACAUCAUAGCCAUCAUUUCCAAUCAGAUUCCUUUUUGCAGUUUAAAAAUACUAAAGGUUCACAUGGAAAAUAAAUUAUGAGCCUUUCCAUGAGCUAGCCACUUACAGAACUCUGAUUCCGGAAUAAAUUUUAUAUCCCUCCUUUUCAAUGUAAUUUCAUUGUUUACUUAUCUUAUGUAAACCAGUCUAAUAUAGUUUAAAAUUUCUUUUUUAACAGAAUGAAGUUAAACAGGUAGUGUCAUUUGCCAGUUCAAAGUAUGCAGAUUUAAGAAAUCAGCUACGUAGAAAGAUUUUCCAAGAGUUGACAGAGGGGAAGAAUGACCUCCAAAGCCUGCAGAUAGAUGAUUUUGCAAAAGUCAUCCUAAGCAGUUUCUGCAGUGCUUUGGAGAGUUAUGAUUCCCAAGAGAGAAUUAAACUCUGUUUGGUACUUAGAUCAUUCCUGCAUAAGAGGGGACUCUUUGCAACAAAGCAGUCAAUUCCAGAUUUCUGGGAUAAAUUUAAGAACUACUUCAUGGAAACCACCAAGGGGGCUAAUGACGAGAAGUGGGAGAAAUUGGCAGGAAUUGAUUCUCGUCGAAUUAUUAAGAGAUUGGAAGUUUUGGGUAAGAAUAGCUAAGUUAUUAAACAAAAUAUGAAGGAGUAUAUGUACGUACAGUAACUAUGUUAUUCAUACCUAAAUUGUUGUGUUAAAAUGCACAUUUAAAGACCCCUUUCAACUGCUAUAUCGCUAUAAACAUGCUAAAGCAUCAAGUUACCUCAUGAAAUCUUAAAUUUUAGAUUAAUAAGGAGUUGUGAUUUGAUUGGGUAUGGGACAAUUAUCUUAAACAAAGAGUGUCCAUGUGAAGUAGAUUUUAGCAAUAAAAGGUCCCUUUACAACCUUCAACAAUGAGCACAACUCAUAAUGUAUAGUAAGCUAUAAAAUGCUAUAAAAGGCUAGGACAUGUAAAAACUUGAAAAUUUAAAUGAAUACAUCAAUGGUCUAGUUAUGAAAAAACUGUCAAUGAUAAACAGAUAUUGCAACCAGCAACCAACUACAACCAAAAAAGUAUAGACUCAUAAAUAGUCGGUCAACCACAAAUACCAAUUAACAUGACCAAUUUGAAUCUCAGUUACACACUUUUCACACAUGUUGUUUCCCUUUGUCAAUUGAAAACUCAGGUUCUUACUGGAUAAAAAAGAUUAUAAGUGAUAUAUAUGGUAACAGGAAUGUUGAAGAAUUUUUGAGAAAAAAAUAUUAUUAAUACAUAAUGAUUUUAGCUUAACAAAAGGAAUAAAUGGAAUGAAAAGAUUUUGAAAAACUUUGUUUUCUCAGACUAGAGUAUCAAUCCAUCCACAUUCAACAGAGUGAAUACUUCCAAUAAAUCGUCAGAGAAAAGCAUGACUGUUAAAUCAUCA